AUUGAACGCUGGCGGAAUGCUUUACACAUGCAAGUCGAACGGCAGCACGGGGGCAACCCUGGUGGCGAGUGGCGAACGGGUGAGUAAUACAUCGGAACGUGCCCAGUCGUGGGGGAUAACGUAGCGAAAGUUACGCUAAUACCGCAUACGAUCUACGGAUGAAAGCGGGGGACCGUAAGGCCUCGCGCGAUUGGAGCGGCCGAUGUCAGAUUAGGUAGUUGGUGAGGUAAAGGCUCACCAAGCCGACGAUCUGUAGCUGGUCUGAGAGGACGACCAGCCACACUGGGACUGAGACACAGCCCAGACUCCUACGGGAGGCAGCAGUGGGGAAUUUUGGACAAUGGGCGCAAGCCUGAUCCAGCCAUUCCGCGUGCAGGACGAAGGCCUUCGGGUUGUAAACUGCUUUUGUACGGAACGAAAAGGUCUCUCUUAAUACGGGGGACUCAUGACGGUACCGUAAGAAUAAGCACCGGCUAACUACGUGCCAGCCGCCGCCGUAA
RNAcentral lists this ribosomal RNA (500 nucleotides) under uncultured bacterium. RNAcentral's name for it is "partial 16S ribosomal RNA". It matches the Rfam family "Bacterial small subunit ribosomal RNA", at positions 30 to 523 of the family's 1533-position model. The record is from RNAcentral.